This 254-nucleotide ribosomal RNA is filed under the name Escherichia coli. RNAcentral describes it as "partial 23S ribosomal RNA". It matches the Rfam family "Bacterial large subunit ribosomal RNA", at positions 1143 to 1396 of the family's 2925-position model. Lineage: Bacteria; Pseudomonadati; Pseudomonadota; Gammaproteobacteria; Enterobacterales; Enterobacteriaceae. The record is from RNAcentral.
CACUGGUCGAGUCGGCCUGCGCGGAAGAUGUAACGGGGCUAAACCAUGCACCGAAGCUGCGGCAGCGACACUAUGUGUUGUUGGGUAGGGGAGCGUUCUGUAAGCCUGCGAAGGUGUGCUGUGAGGCAUGCUGGAGGUAUCAGAAGUGCGAAUGCUGACAUAAGUAACGAUAAAGCGGGUGAAAAGCCCGCUCGCCGGAAGACCAAGGGUUCCUGUCCAACGUUAAUCGGGGCAGGGUGAGUCGACCCCUAAGG